This 375-nucleotide ribosomal RNA is filed under the name Bacillus sp. (in: firmicutes). Its description in RNAcentral is "bacterial SSU rRNA". It matches the Rfam family "Bacterial small subunit ribosomal RNA", at positions 445 to 817 of the family's 1533-position model. The record is from RNAcentral. Lineage: Bacteria; Bacillati; Bacillota; Bacilli; Caryophanales; Bacillaceae.
AAGUGCUAGUUGAAUAAGCUGGCACCUUGACGGUACCUAACCAGAAAGCCACGGCUAACUACGUGCCAGCAGCCGCGGUAAUACGUAGGUGGCAAGCGUUAUCCGGAAUUAUUGGGCGUAAAGCGCGCGCAGGUGGUUUCUUAAGUCUGAUGUGAAAGCCCACGGCUCAACCGUGGAGGGUCAUUGGAAACUGGGAGACUUGAGUGCAGAAGAGGAAAGUGGAAUUCCAUGUGUAGCGGUGAAAUGCGUAGAGAUAUGGAGGAACACCAGUGGCGAAGGCGACUUUCUGGUCUGUAACUGACACUGAGGCGCGAAAGCGUGGGGAGCAAACAGGAUUAGAUACCCUGGUAGUCCACGCCGUAAACGAUGAGUGCU